Long non-coding RNA from Macaca mulatta (Rhesus monkey), 820 nucleotides. RefSeq lists it as uncharacterized. The record is from RefSeq and is a predicted model, not a curated record. Lineage: Eukaryota; Metazoa; Chordata; Mammalia; Primates; Cercopithecidae.
CACUCCAGCCUGGCAAUAGAGCAAGACUCCGUCCCAAAAAAAAAAAAAAAAAGGCUAAGAUAGGGAAACUUUCAAGCAGCAAAUCUCUAAAGAUUACUUUCAGUAUAAACAUGUAUGAUUAUGAGAUUAUGACAUCUUAAGGUACCUUCAGCCAAAGUCCAUAUACUGCAAUAGCUGCUACAGAUAAGAAAGGCAUCAAUAUAAAAGACUUCCCAAUCUAGAAGUGUCUUAUUAAAUCGGCACUAGUAUGAAUAGAUGCCCUUCCACUGUUUACAAGAGGCAGAGACUUUGAAUUCAUUUUUUUCCCAACAAAAAACAACUCACCUGUGAAGCCGGAUAUCCUGGAACCUGCCCCCUAAGAGGGGGUGCUUCAGUCUGACAGUCCUGCUGGGGAUAGAUCCAACGAGAGACUGGAGUUGGGCUGUUGCCAGAUGAACGGUACGAGGAUACCCAUGACCAAAGAAUUCCAUGCAGGAUGAGUUGGAAUAAACAGUCUGCAAUGUAUUCCCUGAGCAGAAGACCAUGAACCACCACUUUGUUAAAACUACUAAGAGGCUGUUAAGGUCUUCGGGCAUAAACAAAGAACUCCUUAAUACAUCACACACACAAUUGGAGACUUAAUAAAACAUUAUGUGACUUUUUGUACUGUUGUUCAACUUCUAGAAAUCCUAAGGAAAUGAUUCAACUAGAGAAAAAGUUAUAGGCAUGAAGUUCUUCAUCACAGUAUUAUUUACAAUCACAUAAAACUGUAAACUACCUAAAUGUCCUAUAAUAAUGGAAUCUUUAAGUAGAUUAAAGACUAUUCAUUGAAAAAACUGUA